UGUACAAAAACUUGUAGCUUGCUAUCCCAAAACACUGAAAGGGACUUUAUGAUUACAUUUGAUGAAGUGAAGUAUUUUUCUGUACAGGAGCUAUUAGUUUGAUUAUAAUAAGAGGAGAGUUUUAGUGGCACUCUAAUGGAAAAUUUUGGAAUUAUCUAGUAAUAUUAACAUAGAAAAUUGGACAAGCAAACAAAGAAAUGUGAAAAAAAAGCAAGACAUUAAUUCCAGGGAAAUUAAAAAAAUGAUACAGGACUAAAAACAUAAUCAUUGUUCCCAGAUGUCACGAUGAUGAGAAGAAUAAUAUUCGCUUAGAACUAAUGCAACAUGACAGUACAAAAAAGUAUCUUCUUUUGUUA
Odocoileus virginianus texanus is the source of this 356-nucleotide non-coding RNA. Lineage: Eukaryota; Metazoa; Chordata; Mammalia; Artiodactyla; Cervidae. The record is from RefSeq and is a predicted model, not a curated record.